This 64-nucleotide ribosomal RNA is filed under the name Fusarium cf. tricinctum. RNAcentral describes it as "partial 28S ribosomal RNA". Lineage: Eukaryota; Fungi; Ascomycota; Sordariomycetes; Hypocreales; Nectriaceae. The record is from RNAcentral.
AACUUCUGAAUGUUGACCUCGGAUCAGGUAGGAAUACCCGCUGAACUUAAGCAUAUCAAUAGGC